Long non-coding RNA from Oreochromis aureus, 911 nucleotides. RefSeq lists it as uncharacterized. Lineage: Eukaryota; Metazoa; Chordata; Actinopteri; Cichliformes; Cichlidae. The transcript has 3 exons. The record is from RefSeq and is a predicted model, not a curated record.
GCUUCACCGCAGACAACGUCUGUACAGCUCCACACAGGUUUUCUUUGGACUACGGCAGCAUGCUAUCUUCAUUUUCGUGGACUUGUUUCUCAUUUUAACGUCUGCUACAGGUCGUCUUCAGUUACUACGGUUCCUCCUGCUUCGCUGCUGAAACAUUCAUGUUGAGCAUUGACAAGAAGAUUGUCAACGACCGCAUCACAACCUUCACCUCUGCUAUCUGCCUAAUGUUUGGCAGUUACAGUACUACUGCUUUAACAUACACUACCCUGUGGAACUACGAUCAACACUGGAGUUCCUUCAACGGUGUUUCUUUUCCAUAAAUCCUGAGAGAGGCACCAAGGUUGAAUCAAAGAAGAAAAAAGUGUUCUCAGUCAAUCCCAGAGUCCUCACUCUCAUCUCAGACAUUGCUGAUCAUGAGUGGAUCUAGUCCUACCCCUCUUGUUUGAGACAAAGUGAUAAAGGUAUACUAUGUUACAUACUCUACAGAUGUUCUGUUUUUGAAACAUUGUUACAUUUCUGAUUGUGAGUGGGAAGUUUUUAACAAUGUGAAGUUUUACUAGACAAAAUUUCUAAAAGUACAUAUUCUACUUUUGAUUCACUGUUUUAUAUAUAAAAAAUGUAUCUGGUAAAAAUGUGGUCAACCUGCGAUUUUGUUUCUUGGAUUUUAAUUUUCCCAGUUUUAAAGAUAUUUGUAUUCCAAUAGUGUAAAAGUAUGCUUCAUGUACAUUGCUGGCAUUUUGUAGAGAACAGCACCAAAAACACUUGAAGGUGUCUGAAUUUUCUGCUAAAGGUAAUGUGAAAUAUAAUGUGUGCUCAACUUACAGCACUGGUUUUGCACAGUUUGAACAGAACUUGUAAGAAUUCUGUGAUUCCUCAGUGUUACUGUCAUGGAGAUAACUUAUUUGUGAUUU